CCUACGGGAGGCAGCAGUGAGGAAUAUUUGUCAAUGGGCUUACGCCUGAACCAGCCAAGUCGCGUGAGGGAAGACUGCCCUAUGGGUUGUAACCCUCUUUUGUCAGGGAACAACGCCGGCUACGUGUAGCCGGACUGAGAGUACCUGAAGCAAAAGCAUCGGCUAACUCCGUGCCAGCAGCCGCGGUCAUACGGAGGAUGCGAGCGUUAUCCGGAUUUAUUGGGUUUAAAGGGUGCGUAGGCGGAAGGCCAAGGCAGCGGUAAAAUUGCGGGGCUCAACCUCGCUCCGCGGUUGAAACUGGCGUUCGUGAGUGGGCGAGAAGGAUGCGGAAUGGGUGGUGUAGCGGUGAAAGGCAUAGAUAGCACGCAGAA
RNAcentral lists this ribosomal RNA (371 nucleotides) under uncultured bacterium. RNAcentral describes it as "partial 16S ribosomal RNA". It matches the Rfam family "Bacterial small subunit ribosomal RNA", at positions 338 to 706 of the family's 1533-position model. The record is from RNAcentral.